Molecule: long non-coding RNA, 681 nt
Organism: Mercenaria mercenaria
Lineage: Eukaryota; Metazoa; Mollusca; Bivalvia; Venerida; Veneridae
Exons: 5
Source: RefSeq, a predicted model, not a curated record
AACGGGACAUAUUAUGGGAGCAUGUGAGGUUGGCAACGGACAGGUGGCAUCCACAGAAGUUGUCUUAAGGAGUCUUUAUCCAGUGAUCACCAGACUUGGUCACAAUGUUUAGGAGCAAAUUAUUUUGGCCAUGUUCGGCUCUGGUAUGUGUUGUGUCAGUUGACCCAUCUGAUUCUAUACCAGUACUGAUCUGUUCUCCACAGGAAACUGGCAAUUUCCCUUAGCUGAUAAAUGACUACAGACACAUUUAGUAGAAAACACACCUUGACACAACAGGAGACUGAACUUGUGACCCUAGUAUUCAUAGAUCUACCUUCUGAGAUAAAGAGGUCCAGCCCCUCAAUUUCUGGAGAUACCAAGAGAAUAUUUUGAGGACUCAAUGGAAAAGUGUAAACACGUUGCAAGAUCCUAACCAUACAAGAAAUGGAAACUUCAUUGUAGAUAUAUUUUGGUGCAUAAGAUGAUCUAGUAUUUCAUAUCAGAAGUGACUGGGUAACUUAUAGUCUUGAGAAAGGGUCUUUGUUGAUCAGGAUGGUAGAUCAGAAUGAAACCAGAGCCCCAAGAGAAAGAUGAAGCAGGCCAGAAGACAGAUAACAAAGCAAGCUCAGUACUGAUUGGCUUUUACAACUCAUAGAGUGUUCCACCUGUUCAGUCAGAUGUAAUGAAAGAGGAAACCAUAGG